CCUACGGGUGGCUGCAGUGGGGAAUAUUGGACAAUGGGCGAAAGCCUGAUCCAGCCAUGCCGCGUGUGUGAAGAAGGCCUUCGGGUUGUAAAGCACUUUCAGUGGGGAAGAAAGCCUUGGGGCUAAUACCCUCGAGGAAGGACAUCACCCACAGAAGAAGCACCGGCUAACUCCGUGCCAGCAGCCGCGGUAAUACGGAGGGUGCGAGCGUUAAUCGGAAUUACUGGGCGUACAGCGCGCGUAGGCGGUCUGAUAAGCCGGUUGUGAAAGCCCCGGGCUCAACCUGGGAACGGCAUCCGGAACUGUCAGGCUAGAGUGCAGGAGAGGAAGGUAGAAUUCCCGGUGUAGCGGUGAAAUGCGUAGAGAUCGGGAGGAAUACCAGUGGCGAAGGCGGCCUUCUGGACUGACACUGACGCUGAGGUGCGAAAGCGUGGGUAGCAAACAGGAUUAGAUACCCGUGUAGUC
Molecule: ribosomal RNA, 465 nt
Filed under: Vreelandella stevensii
Lineage: Bacteria; Pseudomonadati; Pseudomonadota; Gammaproteobacteria; Oceanospirillales; Halomonadaceae
Description: partial 16S ribosomal RNA
Rfam family: Bacterial small subunit ribosomal RNA
Source: RNAcentral